This 388-nucleotide ribosomal RNA is filed under the name uncultured bacterium. RNAcentral describes it as "bacterial SSU rRNA". It matches the Rfam family "Bacterial small subunit ribosomal RNA", at positions 29 to 420 of the family's 1533-position model. The record is from RNAcentral.
AUUGAACGCUGGCGGCAUGCUUUACACAUGCAAGUCGAACGGUAACAGGCCUUCGGGUGCUGACGAGUGGCGAACGGGCGAGUAAUGCAUCGGAACGUGCCCAAUCGUGGGGGAUAACGUAGCGAAAGUUACGCUAAUACCGCAUAAGCCCUGAGGGGGAAAGCGGGGGAUCGCAAGACCUCGCGCUAUUGGAGCGGCCGAUGUCAGAUUAGGUUGUUGGUGAGGUAAAAGCCUACCAAGGCGACGAUCUGUAGCUGGUCUGAGAGGACGACCAGCCACACUGGGACUGAGACACGGCCCAGACUCCUACGGGAGGCAGCAGUGGGGAAUUUUGGACAAUGGGCGCAAGCCUGAUCCAGCCAUGCCGCGUGCGGGAAGAAGGCCUCGG